This 286-nucleotide ribosomal RNA is filed under the name uncultured Geobacter sp. RNAcentral's name for it is "partial 16S ribosomal RNA". It matches the Rfam family "Bacterial small subunit ribosomal RNA", at positions 8 to 277 of the family's 1533-position model. The record is from RNAcentral. Lineage: Bacteria; Pseudomonadati; Thermodesulfobacteriota; Desulfuromonadia; Geobacterales; Geobacteraceae.
AGAGUUUGAUCCUGGCUCAGAACGAACGCUGGCGGCGUGCUUAACACAUGCAAGUCGAACGUGAUUCAGAGCUUGCUCUGAUGAAAGUGGCGCACGGGUGAGUAACGCGUGGAUAACCUGCCCUGGUAUCUGGGAUAACAUCUCGAAAGGGGUGCUAAUACCGGAUAAGCCCACGGGAUCCUCGGAUUCUGCCGGAAAAGGUGGCCUCUCAUUAUAAAGCUACGGAUCACGAUGGUCUCGCCUACCACUUACCAUGUUGUGUGGGUAAAGGGCCCAACAAGGGGAC